GUCCUUUAGAUUAUAAUUUAAGGUCUAACCUGCCCACUGAAAUUUUAAAGGGCCGCAGUAUUUUAACUGUGCAAAGGUAGCAUAAUAAUUAGUUUCUUAAUUAGAAGCUGGUAUGAAUGGUUGAACGAGAAAUUAACUGUCUCAAUUUAUAGGUUAAAAUUUUAUUUUUAAGUUAAAAAGCUUAAAUAAUUUUAAAAGACGAGAAGACCCUAUAGAGUUUUAUAUUAAAUAAAAUUUUUAUUUUAGAAUUUUUUGUAUUUUGUUUAAUAUUUUAUUGGGGUGAUAUAUAAAUUUAUUAAACUUUAUAUUUUUUAUUAACAUAAAUUAAUGAAUUUUUGAUCCAUUAUUAAUGAUUAAAAGAAAAAAUUACCUUAGGGAUAACAGCGUUAUUUUUUUUAAGAGUUCAAAUCGAAAAAAAAGAUUGCGACCUCGAUGUUGGAUUAAAGUUAAUUUUUGGUGUAGAAGCUAAAAUAUUAGGUCUGUUCGACCUUUAAAACUUUACAUGAUCUGAGUUUAAACCGGUGUGAGCCAGGUUGGUUUCUAUCUUUAAAUAAAAUAAAUAUUUUAGUACGAAAGGACCAAGUAUUUUUAAAAAUUAAUUUAUUUGAAUA
Molecule: ribosomal RNA, 611 nt
Filed under: Hydraena curta
Lineage: Eukaryota; Metazoa; Arthropoda; Insecta; Coleoptera; Hydraenidae
Description: partial 16S ribosomal RNA
Rfam family: Bacterial large subunit ribosomal RNA
Source: RNAcentral